Alligator sinensis (Chinese alligator) is the source of this 467-nucleotide long non-coding RNA. RefSeq lists it as uncharacterized. The record is from RefSeq and is a predicted model, not a curated record. The transcript is spliced from 3 exons. NCBI's taxonomy places the organism in Eukaryota, Metazoa, Chordata, Crocodylia, Alligatoridae.
UGCUGAGAAACUCUUUGCAUGUCACUGAGCUUCCCAUCUUGGCACCUGUCUGACUAUUCCUGCAUUUGCAGUGGCAAAUUCCCCAUUUUCUUGGGACACCAAGGACCAGAAUGGAAAACUCCCUGGCAAAUGCAUGGUUUGUAUUGGUCACGAUGCAUGGAUUAGAUGAUCUACCAGCGACCCACUUUUCCUCCCUCCUACCUUUGCAGGUACCUGGAUUCAAAACUGACGGCCAUUUUCCAGAUGUUUCUUUCUUCCCAUAAGGAUUCCCUGUGUGCUUUAAAACUCAAAUACAAGCCAAAGAAGUAUUUGAAGAUCACUUUCAUGCAGCCAAAGAAGAAUUGAAGACCACCUUCAUGCAGGCAAAGAAGUAUUUGAAGGCCACCUUCAUGUCCAUUCUUCAGCACCUCUUCCACAAGCUGACCAUGCCACGUUCCUUCAACCUCUACUCGCAGGAUUUGCCUUUC